AUGGAUUGGUCGGGGCUACCGGCUGGCAAGUUCGAUCCCACGGAUCAAGAGCUGAUCAAGCACCUUGAGGCCAAAGUGAGUGCUGACAACACGAGAUCCCACCCUCUCAUCGAUUUGUUCAUACCGACCAUCGACAACGAGCACGGCAUAUGCUACACCCAUCCUAAGAAACUUCCAGUCGGAGUGCGGCAUACACGUGAUGUAGCACAAGACCGGCAAUACCAUGUCGGUGAUGGUCAACGGCCGGCAAACGGGCAUCAAAAAGGUUCUGGUGCUGCACACCAAGAAGAACUUCAACCAGCAGAGGACCAACUAGGUGAUGCACCAGUACCACCUCCGGGACCUGGAUCAAGAGAAGGAGCGGGCGCUGGUCAUCUGCAAGAUUUUCUACCAUACGAACACUAG
RNAcentral lists this ribosomal RNA (405 nucleotides) under Triticum aestivum (bread wheat). RNAcentral's name for it is "partial small subunit ribosomal RNA". Lineage: Eukaryota; Viridiplantae; Streptophyta; Magnoliopsida; Poales; Poaceae. The record is from RNAcentral.